RNAcentral lists this ribosomal RNA (922 nucleotides) under Paenarthrobacter sp. Its description in RNAcentral is "bacterial SSU rRNA". It matches the Rfam family "Bacterial small subunit ribosomal RNA", at positions 54 to 981 of the family's 1533-position model. The record is from RNAcentral. Lineage: Bacteria; Bacillati; Actinomycetota; Actinomycetes; Micrococcales; Micrococcaceae.
CAUUGCAGUCGACGAUGAUCCCCAGCUUGCUGGGGGGAUUAGUGGCGAACGGGUGAGUAACACGUGAGUAACCUGCCCUUGACUCUGGGAUAAGCCUGGGAAACUGGGUCUAAUACCGGAUAUGACUCCUCAUCGCAUGGUGGGGGGUGGAAAGCUUUUGUGGUUUUGGAUGGACUCGCGGCCUAUCAGCUUGUUGGUGGGGUAAUGGCCUACCAAGGCGACGACGGGUAGCCGGCCUGAGAGGGUGACCGGCCACACUGGGACUGAGACACGGCCCAGACUCCUACGGGAGGCAGCAGUGGGGAAUAUUGCACAAUGGGCGCAAGCCUGAUGCAGCGACGCCGCGUGAGGGAUGACGGCCUUCGGGUUGUAAACCUCUUUCAGUAGGGAAGAAGCCCUCUUUGGGGGUGACGGUACUUGCAGAAGAAGCGCCGGCUAACUACGUGCCAGCAGCCGCGGUAAUACGUAGGGCGCAAGCGUUAUCCGGAAUUAUUGGGCGUAAAGAGCUCGUAGGCGGUUUGUCGCGUCUGCUGUGAAAGACCGGGGCUCAACUCCGGUUCUGCAGUGGGUACGGGCAGACUAGAGUGCAGUAGGGGAGACUGGAAUUCCUGGUGUAGCGGUGAAAUGCGCAGAUAUCAGGAGGAACACCGAUGGCGAAGGCAGGUCUCUGGGCUGUAACUGACGCUGAGGAGCGAAAGCAUGGGGAGCGAACAGGAUUAGAUACCCUGGUAGUCCAUGCCGUAAACGUUGGGCACUAGGUGUGGGGGACAUUCCACGUUUUCCGCGCCGUAGCUAACGCAUUAAGUGCCCCGCCUGGGGAGUACGGCCGCAAGGCUAAAACUCAAAGGAAUUGACGGGGGCCCGCACAAGCGGCGGAGCAUGCGGAUUAAUUCGAUGCAACGCGAAGAACCUUACCAAGGCU